UACGUAGGCAGCGAGCGUUGUUCGGAGUUACUGGGCGUAAAGCGUGCGUAGGCGGUGUUCCAAGUCUGUUGUGAAAUCUCCCGGGCUUAACCGGGAGGGUGCGGCGGAAACUGGGAUGCUGGAGUGCGGGAGAGGUAAGCGGAAUUCCCGGUGUAGCGGUGAAAUGCGUAGAUAUCGGGGAGGAACACCUGCGGUGUAGACGGCUUACUGGACCGUAACUGACGCUGAGGCACGAAAGCGUGGGGAGCAAACAGG
Molecule: ribosomal RNA, 255 nt
Filed under: uncultured bacterium
Lineage: Bacteria
Description: partial 16S ribosomal RNA
Rfam family: Bacterial small subunit ribosomal RNA
Source: RNAcentral